UGGCUGGUCGUUGUCGCCGCAACUGCUGGCUGGCUGGCUGGCUGGCUGGCUGGCUGACUGGCUAGGCGGUGGGUUGGCGGGACGGCUGGGUGGUUUGCUUGCUGGCUGGGCUGGCUGGUGCGAUGCUGCACUACUACUGCUUGCGUGCAGUGAGCGUGUGUUGGCAGGGAUUGUGUUGCCGUGGCCAUGAAGAAGCACUGUCGUGUCAAGCUGGCAAGGCGAUGGUGUCACCUUUGAGCCAUGUCUGUGGUGUAACAGCUACAGGUGUGGACGGGUGUUGGGCAGCGCUCUGCACACGUUGUGGAGUCUGUCGGCUCGUCUGCAUGCCUUUGGAUGCCCUUAAAAAGGUGUCUGCGGGCGGAUGGCACGUUUACUUUGAACAAAUUUGAGUGCUCAAAUCAGGCCGAUGUUGCCUGAAAAGUUUUGCAUGGAAUAAUGGAAUAGGACUUCGGUUCUAUUUCGUUGGUUUUCGGAUCCGAAGUAAUGAUCAAAAGAGACAGGCGGGGACGUUUGUAUGGCUGCGCUAGAGGUGAAAUUCAUGGACCGUAGCCAGACAGACUAAAGCGAAAGCAUUCGUCAAGCAUGUUUUCAUUGGCCAUGAGCGAAAGUCAGAGGCUCGAAGACGAUCAGAUACCGUCCUAGUUCUGACCAUAAACGAUGCCAACUGACGAUCCGUGGUGGUAGUAGUGUUACCUUCCCCACGGGCAGUCCCCGGGAAACCUUUAAGUGUUUGGGUUCCGGGGGAAGUAUGGUUGCAAAGCUGAAACUUAAAGGAAUUGACGGAAGGGCACCACCAGGAGUGGAGCCUGCGGCUUAAUUUGACUCAACACGGGAAAACUCACCCGGGCCGGACACUGUGAGGAUUGACAGAUUGAGAGCUCUUUCUUGAUUUGGUGGUUGGUGGUGCAUGGCCGUUCUUAGUUGGUGGAGCGAUUUGUCUGGUUAAUUCCGAUAACGAACGAGACUCCAACCUGCUAAUUAGUGCGUUUGUCCACUGCGCCUGCGUAGGUGACGCUGGAUGACACCACCUGUCACGAGGACGUGGCAGCGGCUCUUCUCUCCCCUUCUCCGCUCGAAUGCCCUCCAGCGCCUCCUCCUCCUCCUCCUCCUCUCCUCCCCCUUCUUCAGCGCCUCAUCUGGCCGGCUGGCUGGCUGGCCGGGUGAGGCGGUGGUGGCGGUGGCGGUGGUGAGGGCGAUGGGGUGGGGAUGGUGCGGGUGGGCGAGUGGAUUGUGGUGGAGGCGUGGGGUUGGGUGCGGCGCUCGUGGCCGGUUAGUCUGGCGUUGGCCUCCGGGUGUGGCGCGAAUGCCUACUUCUUAGAGGGACAAGCGGGAGAAGCCGCACGAAAUAGAGCAAUAACAGGUCUGUGAUGCCCUUAGAUGUCCGGGGCCGCACGCGCGCUACAAUGACGGUGUCAGCGAGUCAGGCCUUCUGGCCCGAAAGGGUUGGGCAAACUGGUCAAUCACCGUCGUGACAGGGAUCGGGGCUUGGAAUUGUUCCCCGUGAACGAGGAAUUCCUAGUAAGUGCAAGUCAUAAGCUUGCGCUGAUUACGUCCCUGCCCUUUGUACACACCGCCCGUCGCUACUACCGAUUGAAUGGUUUAGUAAGGUCCUCGGAUUGGCGUCAUUGCGACGGUGGCCGAGAGGUCACAGCCCGAGGGGCGCUGAGAAGACGACCGAACUUGAUCAUUUAGAGGAAGUAAAAGUCGUAACAAGGUUUCCGUAGGUGAACCUGCGGAAG
This 1739-nucleotide ribosomal RNA is filed under the name Taenia multiceps. RNAcentral describes it as "SSU rRNA". The stretch from base 229 to 1739 matches the Rfam family "Eukaryotic small subunit ribosomal RNA". Lineage: Eukaryota; Metazoa; Platyhelminthes; Cestoda; Cyclophyllidea; Taeniidae. The record is from RNAcentral.